ACAAACAUCCAUACAAACAUCUACCCACGACGUGCGUGCGACGCCAUUUUCUUGUGUUUGCGACUCCACCUCCCUUUCUCUUCGCAACACCCGUGCUGAAGACAGGACGGAGUGCGUCUCGCACAGAACGCAGCACGCUUCGAACCGACCCCAUCACCGCAGCCGUACCCACCGCGCCAUAGAGGAAAAGCACGCAAAAAAAAAAGACAGGAGGCAGCGAUGCAGCGUCUUACGUCUGCCCGACUCUUCAAGGGAGCAUUCAACGCGGGCCAGAAGCGAACCACGAACGCUUCCGCAGGCGCGGCCGCGGCCGCCUCGCGUCCCCAAGCACUGCCUCAGCCCCACCAAGCUUCUACAAUGACGCCGCCGGCGGCUAAGGCAGCCGCCGCGGCGCCACAGGCUUCCUUGACCCGCUCUGCAUCUCUCGUCGCACCCCCAUCGGCAUCGGUUCCGCCAUCGGGCGCGGCGGCGGGCGCGGCGCCGCCAAUGCGCAAAAAGAAAAUCAUCCGCCGCAUCAUAAAGCGCAAGAAGGCGAGCGCCGGAGCCGCCACCGUCGAGACUGUGCACCACGCAGCAGCCGAAGCAGUCUCUCAGCCGGCCGCACCGGCAGCGCCGAGCGAGCCCGCUUUUGCAGCUGCCACGGGUGCCCAGCCGCCGCGUCGUGGUCUGGCGAUGCUGAACGAGAUUCGAAAGCAUCCGGAAGGUUCCAUCGAGGAGAAGCCGCAUGUCAUUACGGAGCAACACAGCGAAGAGACGGCCACUCCCCAGAAGCAGUACCAUGAGCACACACAUGACCACCACGUCGAGAGCCAGGAGACUGAGAAGGCUCAUGAACACCACCACCAUCAUGACGCGGUGAGUGAGAAGGCCACGAGCAGCAGGUACAAGGCUUCAUCAGCCGAGGCAGAGACGGACGCCGCCGCGAGGAGCGACGACAUGUAUGACGCCAUCUACAACAACGGCUCGUUGUCAUCGCGGAAGACGGCGAUGGUGAAGGGCUACCGCAUUGAUGAGGUCGGUGCGCUAUGCAGCUCGUCGGAUGCCAUGUUUGCCCGACGUCUCCCGUCCGGCGGGUGCCAGUUCUUCGCAUGGCCUGGUACGCCGCUGCCCGUGGCAAGCUCGGCGAUUGUGUCGAUGCCGGACACGAUCCGCACUGUGCAUGCCGUCUUUGGCCGCGCCGGAACGCCGAUCGACAUUGUGAUGGAUAUCGACGCUCAGGUGCCGCAGGAGUAUUGGACAAUGUCGAAGAUUCGCGUCUAUCAGCGCAAGGUGCUAGAUGACGUGCUGACUCCGCUGAAGGAGGAGAUUGAGAAGAUUGGCGAGGAGAUCGAGACACAGGUUGUGCUGCAGUCACCGAACCUGAAGAAGGCGUCCUUUCACGUGCACACGCGGCUGAAGGAUGCGGCCUUCGCAGACUUCUACUCCCUCCACGGAUUUCUCUUCCGCUUUCAGGAUCGACUCCCGAAUGUCGACCUACAGAUUUAUCGGCCGAACGGCAUGCUACGCAUGUUCAGCUGUAUGAAGGAGAACCGCACGAGCGCCAUCAUCGUCUUUGACGAGCCCAAGUGGAAUAUCGGCUUUCCGGGCGGGAAGGUGAGCGACGAGCAGGCGGCGUUACACUCCAUCUGCGUGCGCGACCCGUCCACGUUCUCGCGCGUGCUUACCUUCGAGGCACCGCGGCAGCACAACAUGCCCGCGUACGGCGGCAGCAAGGGAGCGUGCGGCGACGGCAACGAAGGUGCCCUCCGGCCGCCGCAGGUGCUGCUGCCACGGACGGAGAAGGAGGCAAUUGAGAACGCGUCUCGAUGGCUGCGGCAGGCGACGGAGGUAGAGGUGGGAGAGUGGCGCACGUGGAUCGGCCUGGGGCUGUGCGCCUACCGUGUGGCCUACCAAUUCCGCAACGCCAGGAAUCUGCCUCGGCCGGCCAUGGCAGAGAUGCUCGACGCGUGGACGGAGGCAAGCCGCAAGUGCCCUCUCAAGUUCCACAGUGGCGAAUGCGAGGCGCGCUGGGCGGCCUUCGACCCCGAGAAGCUUGGCAGCUACUCCGACUGGUGGUCAGCGUACAAGCGCCUCGGUCGCUUAGAGGUGCCGAUGCGCGAAGCCAUGGAACGUGAGGCCGCGUUUGCCGCGCGGUGCGCCUCACGCUAUCAGGCUGCUCCGGCAGCUGAAGUGCCCCUCGCACCAGAGCCGCCGCAAUUCGCCGCUGCCGCUGGAAGCGUGACGUCGGCGUCGCGCAAGAUGAAGCAGCAGAAGAAGGCGUUCCGUCGAGCUUAGGAGGGUGCGCUCACGUAUGUGGUGGCUGGAUGUCGGCAUCCUCCUUGCCAUCCAAGCGUGUUUACAAAAAUUCCUUGCUGUCCGUAGCAUGAUGCCGAUCUCUUUGCUGUUGUUUAUGCUUCGUGUGCGAAGCCUCUCUGAGGGACCCCAUCGUGGUUGUCGACUUCCAGUGCCCCUCCCCGCCUCCCCCCGUUCUCAAUAUCUUCUGCCUACCGUUUCCUGUAAAAGCCGGGCUGCGGACUCCUCCCCUCUAUUUCUUUCGUGGAACGGGAUACGCUUGCCAUGCGGGAUGCGUUGAGGUUGUGUAUGUGUGUGUAUGUGCGUGCCGUCGUGGUGCGUGCGUGUGCGUGUAUUUUUUCGUUUUCGUGAUGGGGCUGUCGCGCACGUUCGUCUUUUUCCUUCGGUCGUUGUGUGGUAUCGGCCCGCUAGAGAUGGGCCGUCUUCAUUUUUCGUGUUUGCGCGAUGCCUUUUUCAAGUUUCACAGGCGCGCUCGCAUCAUAGAAGGCGCUUUCUUCGUGCCCCCCCCCCCUGUUCCCCCCGCGGCACUCCUUCACGUUCUCCCGCGCUUUUCUGUCGCCGCUGCACCUCCCCCUCUCCCUCCUCCUCGUCUUUCCUGAUGUGCACGCACUGGCGGAGAGAGCCACGCGUGAAUAAAAGGUGAAGCCGUGCUGUGAGAGAGAGAGACGACAGCGCCGGGGCAGCACACGAAGCGGACAGGAGUUGAGCCAAGAGAGGCGGCGCAUGGACAGUGUUGGGGACAGUGGGGACGUCGGGUGGACGAUGACGCACGCGUGUGCGUACGUUUGUGCGUGUGUGUGUAUGCUGCUUAGAGGUUUGCAUACGGGAGAUUUUUUUUUUUUGGAGUUGUCGCUUCUCUUCGAGUUCGGAGGGCGCUGCUGGAGGUGGUUCGUGACGGACUCGUUGAGGCCGAUGGAAGAAGUACCGAGAGGGAGGAGGGGGUGGGGACGGCAUGCGUGGCAGAAAAGUUUGUGAGGGAUUCGAUGCUGCGGCGUCGCGGUGGUAGUGGCGUUGCGCUCCACGUGAACUCGACAGCGUUUCCUCGCGUUGCUGUGUUUUUGCUCGCGUUCUUCUCCCUCUCCCACUUCGGAUCGACUGAGCCGCUUGUAUUCUCUCCUCUGCUCUGUUUUGUCUUGCCUUCGUCGCAGGUGGGAGAGUGGAGCGGGGCGUCCUUUCCGGUGAAAAGAGUGCUCCACGGUUGACUUGUGUAAGGCGGGCGCAUAGAGGUGCGCGUCUUGUUUGCGUGUACGCCUCUACGCCUCUCUACAUGGUGCUCGGCGAUGGCGGGGGCGUCCGUCUCUGUUUCAGCAUCGAAUUUCUUUGAAGAACAGCACAGAUGCCUCCCUCUCCUUGGUGGGAAGCGGUGACGGCGACAGUCGACGACCGCUGUGAUCACCCUCUGGGCGCGCACCUCUGUAGGCAUGUGCUGGGACGUUCCGGCGCAUUCACUUGCGCUCGUGUGCGAAGAACAAAGGUUAAGGUGAGGGUGGGGUGGGUGGGGGAUGGGAGAGUCAUCUGCAGCAGCCUCCUCAACAUACAUCCCAAUCACCAUUGCCACCCCACCGAUGAGCACGCGGAGCAUCUUUUUCUCUCUCUGUGCGAGUACGAGGGAGUUCACUUGCACACUGCGUGUGAGCGCGCGCUAACGGUCG
This 3944-nucleotide unclassified non-coding RNA is filed under the name Leishmania donovani. RNAcentral describes it as "gene:LdHU3.23.1150(CDS-product:mitochondrial_DNA_ primase_putative)". The record is from RNAcentral. Lineage: Eukaryota; Euglenozoa; Kinetoplastea; Trypanosomatida; Trypanosomatidae.